GGAUGCGAUCAUACCAGCACUAACGCACCGGAUCCCAUCAGAACUCCGAAGCUAAGCGUGCUUGAGCGAGAGUAGUACUAGGAUGGGUGACCCCCUGGGAAGUCCUCGUGUUGCAUCCC
Molecule: ribosomal RNA, 119 nt
Organism: Nicotiana attenuata
Lineage: Eukaryota; Viridiplantae; Streptophyta; Magnoliopsida; Solanales; Solanaceae
Source: Rfam